UAUAUGUUUGCUACGCAACAAUGGCCGUCCACAAUCUAAGCACAGGAACAUAUAUUCAUUUGAAAACCCAAUUCCCUUUAGUCCUAAAUUAAAGGCUUUUAGUGUUCUUAAUAAACCCAGAAAAGUUCCCUUCUUAGUUCCAUCAAUGGGUUCUUCUGCUUCUUCCCAAAGACCCGACAACGUUCAAGAUAUUGAUGGUCCAUCCGGUACAGAGGCUGCUGCAGUUGACUAUGGUUCUGUAAGUAACGGGGAAUGAAGAAAGAGGCUUACACCUGAACAAUUUUAUAUUACUCGACAAAAGGAACCGAAAGAGCUUUCACUGGGGAAUACUGGAACAC
Hibiscus syriacus is the source of this 338-nucleotide long non-coding RNA. RefSeq lists it as uncharacterized. The transcript is spliced from 3 exons. The record is from RefSeq and is a predicted model, not a curated record. NCBI's taxonomy places the organism in Eukaryota, Viridiplantae, Streptophyta, Magnoliopsida, Malvales, Malvaceae.